AUGGAGAAAUAGCUUCAGAGCACGAUUCUAUGUAACACGUACAAAAAGGAGCUAUUUACCACCAACAAUGGCUAUAAAUCCAUGCAGAAAAAUAUUUUGCAGUAAUUAGAAGAGUCAGAGCUUAAAAGAGGAAAUCACAUCUGAGAAGUUAAUUGGGGUGAAACUGUGGAUUACAACUGGGCCAAGGGAAAAAUUUACUGCAGCUGAGUUUGAAGUCCUGAAGAAGUACCUUGACAGUGGUAAUGAUAUCCUUGUGAUGCUAAGAGAAGGUGGAGAAUCCAGAUCUGAUACCAAUAUCCACCUUUUACUAGAAGAAUAUGCAAUCAUGGUUAACAAUGAUGCUGUUGUUAGAAACAUGUAUUACAAGUAUUUUCAUCCUAAAGAAGUUCUAGUUUCCAAUGGAGUUUUGAACAGGGAAAUUAGCCGAGCUUCAGGAAAGGCCAUGCCUGGAAUCAUUGACGAGGAAAGCCGUGGCAACAAUGCCCAGGCUCUCACCUUUGUCUAUCGUUUUGGUGCCACAUUGAGUGUCAUGAAACAAGCAGUGGCUGUUCUGUUUGCAGGCUCUGUCUGCUUCCCACUUAACAGAACCAUUCUGGUUUUCUAUCAAAGAGCCAAGGUGGGAAGCUGGCAGUGCUUGGCUCAUGUCGCACGUUCACUGAUCAAUAUUUGGAUAAAGAAGAAAACAGAAAAAUCAUAGAUGUUGUUUUCCAGUGGUUCAUGACAGAAGAUAUCCAACUAAACCAGACUGAUGCUGAGGACCCUGAGAUUUCAGACUACAUGAUGCUGCCUGACACAGCCACCCUGUCAGAGCACCUUUCAGUGUGUCUCCAGGAGGGCAAGGAGAACCAGCGGGACUUUACCACCCUCUUUGGCCUGUCCAUUUACCAGCUGGAUACCACCUCCCUCCCCAAGGUCAUCAAGGCUCACGAGCAGCUAAACGUGAAACAUGAACUACUCCAGCUCAUCCAACCUCAGUUUGAGACACCACUGCCGGCCCUUCAGCCUGUGGUUUUCCCACCUAAUUUCAGGGAAUCACCACCUCCUCCUCUGGAGCUGUUUGACUUAGACGAGACAUUCUCCUCUGAGAAGGCACAGCUUACUCAGAUUGCCAAUAAGUGUACUGAAGAAGACCUGGAAUUCUAUGUCAGGAAGUAUGGUGACAUUCUUGGAGUAACCAGUAAACUACCAAAGGACCAACAAGAUGCCAAACAUAUCCUCGAACACAUCUUCUUCCAAGUGGUGGAGUUCAAGAAACUGAACCAGGAACAUGACAUUGACAGAAGUAAAACAGCAUUCCAGAACAAUUUCUGAAGACUGUGCCUCUUGAACCAUUUUCUGCCUCCUGACUCUUCUGUCUUUGUAAUCUAUUUUUGAAUUGUUUCUCAACUCCUUAUCAAAAUUGUCUAUAUACUCUUUCCUCUAGGAGCUUUGGAAGGUCUGUGCAUUUUCUGUAGUAUCCAGAUAGGCAUAAGAUUUCUAAUUUAUAAAAUCCUUAUAUAAGAUACGCUCCAUUUUUCAUUAAAUCUAUGUUGAAUCUG
Propithecus coquereli (Coquerel's sifaka) is the source of this 1538-nucleotide RNA transcript. It is a transcript of the gene named intraflagellar transport protein 52 homolog pseudogene, with no coding region annotated. NCBI's taxonomy places the organism in Eukaryota, Metazoa, Chordata, Mammalia, Primates, Indriidae. The record is from RefSeq and is a predicted model, not a curated record. The transcript has 2 exons.